GUCGGCCCCGGAGAAGGGAGGAG
Molecule: non-coding RNA, 23 nt
Filed under: Cricetulus griseus (Chinese hamster)
Lineage: Eukaryota; Metazoa; Chordata; Mammalia; Rodentia; Cricetidae
Source: RNAcentral